Molecule: ribosomal RNA, 434 nt
Filed under: uncultured bacterium
Lineage: Bacteria
Description: partial 16S ribosomal RNA
Rfam family: Bacterial small subunit ribosomal RNA
Source: RNAcentral
UGGGGAAUUUUGGACAAUGGGCGAAAGCCUGAUCCAGCAAUGCCGCGUGUGUGAAGAAGGCCUUCGGGUUGUAAAGCACUUUUGUCCGGGAAAGAAAUCCUCUGGGUUAAUACCUCGGGGGGAUGACGGUACCGGAAGAAUAAGCACCGGCUAACUACGUGCCAGCAGCCGCGGUAAUACGUAGGGUGCAAGCGUUAAUCGGAAUUACUGGGCGUAAAGCGUGCGCAGGCGGUUUGUAAGACGGAUGUGAAAUCCCCGGGCUUAACCUGGGAACUGCAUUCGUGACUGCAAGGCUAGAGUAUGGCAGAGGGGGGUAGAAUUCCACGUGUGAGCAGUGAAAUGCGUAGAGAUGUGGAGGAAUACCGAUGGCGAAGGCAGCCCCCUGGGCCAAUACUGACGCUCAUGCACGAAAGCGUGGGGGAGCAAACAGGAUU